This 2900-nucleotide ribosomal RNA is filed under the name Campylobacter jejuni. RNAcentral's name for it is "partial 23S ribosomal RNA". It matches the Rfam family "Bacterial large subunit ribosomal RNA". Lineage: Bacteria; Pseudomonadati; Campylobacterota; Epsilonproteobacteria; Campylobacterales; Campylobacteraceae. The record is from RNAcentral.
CGAGGGGAAUUGAAACAUCUUAGUACCCUCAGGAAAAGAAAUCAAUAGAGAUUGCGUCAGUAGCGGCGAGCGAAAGCGCAAGAGGGCAAACCCAGUGCUUGCACUGGGGGUUGUAGGACUGCAAUGUGCAAGAGGUAAGUUUAGCAGAACAUUCUGGAAAGUAUAACCAUAGAGGGUGAUAGUCCCGUAUGCGAAAAACAAACCUUAGCUAGCAGUAUCCUGAGUAGGGCGGGACACGAGGAAUCCUGUCUGAAUCCGGGUCGACCACGAUCCAACCCUAAAUACUAAUACCAGAUCGAUAGUGCACAAGUACCGUGAGGGAAAGGUGAAAAGAACUGAGGUGAUCAGAGUGAAAUAGAACCUGAAACCAUUUGCUUACAAUCAUUCAGAGCCCUAUGUAGCAAUACAGGGUGAUGGACUGCCUUUUGCAUAAUGAGCCUGCGAGUUGUGGUGUCUGGCAAGGUUAAGCAAACGCGAAGCCGUAGCGAAAGCGAGUCUGAAUAGGGCGCUUAGUCAGAUGCUGCAGACCCGAAACGAAGUGAUCUAUCCAUGAGCAAGUUGAAGCUAGUGUAAGAACUAGUGGAGGACUGAACCCAUAGGCGUUGAAAAGCCCCGGGAUGACUUGUGGAUAGGGGUGAAAGGCCAAUCAAACUUCGUGAUAGCUGGUUCUCUCCGAAAUAUAUUUAGGUAUAGCGUUGUGUCGUAAUAUAAGGGGGUAGAGCACUGAAUGGGCUAGGGCAUACACCAAUGUACCAAACCCUAUCAAACUCCGAAUACCUUAUAUGUAAUCACAGCAGUCAGGCGGCGAGUGAUAAAAUCCGUCGUCAAGAGGGAAACAACCCAGACUACCAGCUAAGGUCCCUAAAUCUUACUUAAGUGGAAAACGAUGUGAAGUUACUUAAACAACCAGGAGGUUGGCUUAGAAGCAGCCAUCCUUUAAAGAAAGCGUAAUAGCUCACUGGUCUAGUGAUUUUGCGCGGAAAAUAUAACGGGGCUAAAGUAAGUACCGAAGCUGUAGACUUGCACACAACUUAGAUUAUUUAAGUUUAGAAUAUGAGAAACUAAGUUAUAUGUUUAGUUAUAUUUUUACUGAUUUUUAUAGAGUAAAGAUAGAAAUAAAACUUAGUAAAAUCAGUAAAAAUAUUCUUAGACUAAAGUUAAGUAGUUUAAGUUGUGUGCAAGUGGUAGGAGAGCGUUCUAUUUGCGUCGAAGGUAUACCGGUAAGGAGUGCUGGAGCGAAUAGAAGUGAGCAUGCAGGCAUGAGUAGCGAUAAUUAAUGUGAGAAUCAUUAACGCCGUAAACCCAAGGUUUCCUACGCGAUGCUCGUCAUCGUAGGGUUAGUCGGGUCCUAAGUCGAGUCCGAAAGGGGUAGACGAUGGCAAAUUGGUUAAUAUUCCAAUACCAACAUUAGUGUGCGAUGGAAGGACGCUUAGGGCUAAGGGGGCUAGCGGAUGGAAGUGCUAGUCUAAGGUCGUAGGAGGUUGUACAGGCAAAUCCGUAUAACAAUACUCCGAGAACUGAAAGGCUUUUUGAAGUCUUCGGAUGGAUAGAAGAACCCCUGAUGCCGUCGAGCCAAGAAAAGUUUCUAAGUUUAGCUAAUGUUGCCCGUACCGUAAACCGACACAGGUGGGUGGGAUGAGUAUUCUAAGGCGCGUGGAAGAACUCUCUUUAAGGAACUCUGCAAAAUAGCACCGUAUCUUCGGUAUAAGGUGUGGUUAGCUUUGUAUUAGGAUUUACUCCGAAAGCAAGGAAACUUACAACAAAGAGUCCCUCCCGACUGUUUACCAAAAACACAGCACUCUGCUAACUCGUAAGAGGAUGUAUAGGGUGUGACGCCUGCCCGGUGCUCGAAGGUUAAUUGAUGGGGUUAGCAUUAGCGAAGCUCUUGAUCGAAGCCCGAGUAAACGGCGGCCGUAACUAUAACGGUCCUAAGGUAGCGAAAUUCCUUGUCGGUUAAAUACCGACCUGCAUGAAUGGCGUAACGAGAUGGGAGCUGUCUCAAAGAGGGAUCCAGUGAAAUUGUAGUGGAGGUGAAAAUUCCUCCUACCCGCGGCAAGACGGAGAGACCCCGUGGACCUUUACUACAGCUUGACACUGCUACUUGGAUAAGAAUGUGCAGGAUAGGUGGGAGGCUUUGAGUAUAUGACGCCAGUUGUAUAUGAGCCAUUGUUGAGAUACCACUCUUUCUUAUUUGGGUAGCUAACCAGCUUGAGUUAUCCUCAAGUGGGACAAUGUCUGGUGGGUAGUUUGACUGGGGCGGUCGCCUCCCAAAUAAUAACGGAGGCUUACAAAGGUUGGCUCAGAACGGUUGGAAAUCGUUCGUAGAGUAUAAAGGUAUAAGCCAGCUUAACUGCAAGACAUACAAGUCAAGCAGAGACGAAAGUCGGUCUUAGUGAUCCGGUGGUUCUGUGUGGAAGGGCCAUCGCUCAAAGGAUAAAAGGUACCCCGGGGAUAACAGGCUGAUCUCCCCCAAGAGCUCACAUCGACGGGGAGGUUUGGCACCUCGAUGUCGGCUCAUCGCAUCCUGGGGCUGGAGCAGGUCCCAAGGGUAUGGCUGUUCGCCAUUUAAAGCGGUACGCGAGCUGGGUUCAGAACGUCGUGAGACAGUUCGGUCCCUAUCUGCCGUGGGCGUAAGAAGAUUGAAGAGAUUUGACCCUAGUACGAGAGGACCGGGUUGAACAAACCACUGGUGUAGCUGUUGUUCUGCCAAGAGCAUCGCAGCGUAGCUAAGUUUGGAAAGGAUAAACGCUGAAAGCAUCUAAGCGUGAAGCCAACUCUAAGAUGAAUCUUCUCUAAGCUCUCUAGAAGACUACUAGUUUGAUAGGCUGGGUGUGUAAUGGAUGAAAGUCCUUUAGCUGACCAGUACUAAUAGAGCGUUUGGCUUAUCUUUAAUAAAGCAU